This 519-nucleotide ribosomal RNA is filed under the name uncultured cyanobacterium. RNAcentral describes it as "bacterial SSU rRNA". It matches the Rfam family "Bacterial small subunit ribosomal RNA", at positions 225 to 759 of the family's 1533-position model. Lineage: Bacteria; Bacillati; Cyanobacteriota. The record is from RNAcentral.
AUGAGCUCGCGUCUGAUUAGCUAGUUGGUAGAGUAAGAGCCUACCAAGGCGACGAUCAGUAGCUGGUCUGAGAGGAUGAUCAGCCACACUGGGACUGAGACACGGCCCAGACUCCUACGGGAGGCAGCAGUGGGGAAUUUUCCGCAAUGGGCGAAAGCCUGACGGAGCAAUACCGCGUGAGGGAGGAAGGCUCUUGGGUUGUAAACCUUUUUUCUCAAGGAAGAAGAUAUGACGGUACUUGAGGAAUAAGCAUCGGCUAACUCCGUGCCAGCAGCCGCGGUAAUACGGAGGAUGCAAGCGUUAUCCGGAAUGAUUGGGCGUAAAGGGUCCGCAGGUGGCUAUGAAAGUCUGCUGUUAAAGAAUCUAGCUUAACUAGAUAAAAGCAGUGGAAACUACAAAGCUAGAGUGCGUUCGGGGUAGAGGGAAUUCCUGGUGUAGCGGUGAAAUGCGUAGAUAUCAGGAAGAACACCAGUGGCGAAGGCGCUCUACUAGGCCGCAACUGACACUGAGGGACGAAAG